UACGGGGGGGGCAAGCGUUGUUCGGAAUUACUGGGCGUAAAGGGCUCGUAGGUGGCCAACUAAGUCAGACGUGAAAUCCCUCGGCUUAACCGGGGAACUGCGUCUGAUACUGGAUGGCUUGAAUCCGGGAGAGGGAUGCGGAAUUCCAGGUGUAGCGGUGAAAUGCGUAGAUAUCUGGAGGAACACCGGUGGCGAAGGCGGCAUCCUGGACCAACACUGACGCUGAGUGAGCGAAAGCCAGGGGAGCAAACGGG
This 254-nucleotide ribosomal RNA is filed under the name uncultured bacterium. RNAcentral describes it as "partial 16S ribosomal RNA". It matches the Rfam family "Bacterial small subunit ribosomal RNA", at positions 524 to 776 of the family's 1533-position model. The record is from RNAcentral.